This 433-nucleotide ribosomal RNA is filed under the name uncultured bacterium. Its description in RNAcentral is "partial 16S ribosomal RNA". It matches the Rfam family "Bacterial small subunit ribosomal RNA", at positions 29 to 507 of the family's 1533-position model. The record is from RNAcentral.
AACGAACGCUGGCGGCAUGCCUAACACAUGCAAGUCGAACGAGACCUUCGGGUCUAGUGGCGCACGGGUGCGUAACGCGUGGGAACCUGCCCUUAGGUUCGGAAUAACUCCCCGAAAGGGGUGCUAAUACCGGAUAAUUUCUUCUGACCAAAGAUUUAUCGCCUUUGGAUGGGCCCGCGUUGGAUUAGCUAGUUGGUAGUGUAAAAGCCUACCAAGGCGACGAUCCAUAGCUGGUCUGAGAGGAUGAUCCGCCACACUGGGACUGAGACACGGCCCAGACUACUACGGGAGGCAGCAGUGGGGAAUAUUGGAAAAUGGGCGAAAGCCUGAUCCAGCACUGCCGCGUGAGUGAUGAAGGCCUUAGGGUUGUAAAGCUCUUUUACCCGGGAUGAUAAUGACAGUACCGGGAGAAUAAGCUCCGGCUAACUCCGUG